Molecule: ribosomal RNA, 497 nt
Filed under: uncultured bacterium
Lineage: Bacteria
Description: partial 16S ribosomal RNA
Rfam family: Bacterial small subunit ribosomal RNA
Source: RNAcentral
GAUGAACGCUGGCGGCGUGCCUAAUACAUGCAAGUCGAGCGAACGGACGAGAAGCUUGCUUCUCUGAUGUUAGCGGCGGACGGGUGAGUAACACGUGGAUAACCUACCUAUAAGACUGGGAUAACUUCGGGAAACCGGAGCUAAUACCGGAUGAUAUUUUGAACCGCAUGGUUCAAAAGUGAAAGACUGUCUUGCUGUCACUUAUAGAUGGAUCCGCGCUGCAUUAGCUAGUUGGUAAGGUAACGGCUUACCAAGGCAACGAUGCAUAGCCGACCUGAGAGGGGGAUCGGCCACACUGGAACUGAGACACGGUCCAGACUCCUACGGGAGGCAGCAGUAGGGAAUCUUCCGCAAUGGGCGAAAGCCUGACGGAGCAACGCCGCGUGAGUGAUGAAGGUCUUCGGAUCGUAAAACUCUGUUAUUAGGGAAGAACAUAUGUGUAAGUAACUGUGCACAUCUUGACGGUACCUAAUCAGAAAGCCACGGCUAACUACGUG